UACCAUCUCUUCAGGGGAGGGCAUACUUUUGCACACGCAUCGCGUUGUCUUGUGCAGCCCCAUCCCCAAUCUUUACAGUGUCACUUCUGCACCAGCAGCGCUGCGGAUCGCUCUUAAGCGAGUCCUCUGUCCCCCACCGUGAUUUGCAGAGGUUGUGCAUUUGUGAGAGGGCUAGUGUUUUUCACACCUGGCCACACCCAUUUAAUCUAUCUCACACCUCUGGGCUAUCGCUCUUCAUAACAGCGUGCCCUUGUUGUUUCUAUCGUCUCUGCAGCGUUGUGCGCUAGCCAGGAUUCGGUGGUUAACGAUGCUGCGCAGUAAUGUAGGUGUAUGUAGUCGUGUAGGGGUGGCACGGUUGUGGUUUCGAGUGUGUCAGCCGCUUCCAUCUGUCUCCGUAGCCUCGGCGCGCACCUUUGGCACCUCCGCAUCCCCUCUCUUAGCAGGCUGUCGCCUUAGCGCGUUGCGCCUUGAUAGCAAGAGCAUCGGUUCCACACUGCCGGCGAACGGCGACCGCGUCUCUAACGACAAUGGUGAGAAGGACGACGGCGGCGGUCCCGCUACGGAUGGGACAGGCAUGAGCAAGCCGGCAAGUGCAGAAGACGGCGCAGAAAUGGCUGUGGUACAGAAGGACUACGGAGAAGAGAACGGCGAUGAGGGGUUUCAUGAAGACGCGAUCAUCGUGAAGGAUGAGAAAGGCAACCCUAUCACCCGCAUUCGACGCCUGCCACUCACGCUUAUCGAAGAGGUCCCGCUGCCGCAGCGCAUUCUGACGGACCUGGAGUUGGUCAUGAUGGCCUGGUGCGAGGAGCACGCCCGGCAAUAUGCGCUCUUCAUGACGGCUAUUCGCAUCGGUGUGUUCGUUCUUCUCUUGAUCAUCCUGUACGUGUUUUACCAGACCACCCUGUCGAGCGAGCGAGUGGUGCGCGGUGUGGAUAAGAUGCCGGCCGACCUGCGCAUCGGCAGCGUCGUCUACUUCGACGUAACCGAGAACGGCACCGACAUCGGGCGCAUUGUCAUUGGUCUGCUCAACGAGGACUGCCCGCUCUACUGUGAGUACUUUCAUCGUCGUUGCACCGGCAACGGAGGCAAGGGUAACUCCUUCCGCGGGAUGCCCCUAGCGGCGAUCGUGCCCCGACACUGCUUGAUCUUCGGCGACGGACAGGAAAUGGAGCACGAUGUCCCCGGGUUCAACUCGCACUACCUGCCGACAGAACACCUGAGCAACGGUGCUUGGCGCGGCGCGCUGUCCUCCAUCGCGUACGGACCCAACCGCGAGAGCCCGAACUUCGCCAUUCACAUCUCAUCGGGCGACUACAAGCCGCAGGUGUUCGCCAUUGUGAUUGGUGGGUACAACGUGAUUGAGCGGAUGAACAAUGCAGGCUCGAAGCACGGCAAUGCGCCGAAACGGAACUACGUCAUUGAGGGCUGCGGAGAGCUGUGCACGCUCGCCAAGUCGCACAUCGCGCCAAUACCGUGGAAACUGUACGAGUCCGUGUCUGUCGGGUACGAUGAUGAAAAGUUCGGCCCGCGCUUGUCAGCGGACGUGCUCAAGCACUCCGAUGAGAUCGGUGCCACGGCGGUCGCGACGCAGCAAGAGGGUGGGUCGGCGCAGGUGCGGAAGAGAAAAUGGUGGUUUUUCUAAGACCACACGCACGGGGGGCGCGAAAGGCACAAAGUGCCCCGAGAGGAGGAGGAGGACGGCAGGGAACGAGACUCUUCGACCACUGAUAAAGACGAAGAAAAGCGCGUGUGGGGGAAGGGGCGCACGAUUUAUCAUGCAAUAUGUGCUUUAGUGACUCCCUCGUAUGUGUACACGUGCUUGGCGAAGCGGACACGCUGUCCGGGAGAGAAGAGGUGAACAGGGUGUGGGUUGCAGCGACGGGGGGCUGCGUGGUGCGUCUCGCACCUCUGUUCCUUUGCCUCAUGUGGUUAUGGUUUUGCUGCACCUUCCCUGCCACACUUUUCACGCCUAUUGUCCUUUGCAGUUCCUCUAACGCAUCUUCUCUCUCUUGAAGGGCUUGAGAGUGGGAUGCGGAGACGGCGACGGCCGUGCGUUGAUGGACCUCCCAACAUCGCCCUCGCCGCCCCACUUCCCCCUUCUCCCUCCAUGCGAUCCUCCACUGGUGCGGCGCAUCUUUGGAUGCGCGCACAUUACUUACUUCUUGCGAUGAUUGCCGGUCUUUCGCUUCUUCGGUGUCGCCUUUAUGCGCGUGUGGUGGUGCUUCUCUCGCCGUUGUGUAUGUGCGCGUCGAUGGGUUCGUUGUGCGAACGCUGUGCACAUGUGGUGCUGGUGGGAAGAUCCGCUCUUUCCUUCCCCUUUGAUACAGUCGCCCUCACGACGAGAGGGGGGCACCUCACCGUUGCACCUCAGGGUCCAGUACAUCCACUAUGUGUGUGUGUGUGUGGAGGCCAAGCAGCACCCCCUAUCCCUGCCAAUGCCGAGCCACUUGCGGUGGUGACGCGGGGCCAGGCACCCGCGACGUGGUGGUGCCAGAGCGCUUCAUCGCUGCUCAUGCCGGCAGCCAUGUCGUGGACGGCGUUGCGUCGGAGCGGCCUGCGACAGCGAGCACGCGUGUGCCAUCCAUGUGGUGGGCAGCGUGUCAGCGCGACUCGAACGUGCCCCGCCCGGCCCUCGCACUGCCUACUGGUGGUGGGCAACCUGCGUGCCACCGCGAGGGAUGCACCAGGGAUGGCGACUGGCAUGGUGUGAGCCGCUGUGAGGCGACAUGCGAGGCGGCGGAUCGGUAGGUCUCGAGGCGGUGCUGAGCCGACGGAGUCGGUGCACUGCUGCACUGGCGCGUGUCUACGGCUGCUUUGCACCACGAGAUGGGUCUGUGACUGGCCGGGGGCAGCAGAGUGGCGUUGGGCUCCUGCUGCGCGGCAGAGAAUGGACACACACGUGUGGAAGCAAAAUAUCCUACUACCUGAAGGGGUAGGCAACGCAGUUCGAGAUUUAGUGUCUCCCGUGCGCCGCUGUUUUACCUUCGUCCAGUAGCUCCACGAUUGGUGUUGUUUUCUUUGUAUGGUGUGCCUACUUGUUCCUUCUUUUUCAUAUAACCCACAUGACUUGUCUUUUUUGUUGUUGGUUCUCGAGUAGCUCGCACACGGUCACCCACGGCAAUCCGAAAAUGAAGUCCCGUUUUCUUCCUCCCUUCUCUCUCUCCUUACAUACACACAUACAAAUGUGUGUACUUCGUUGUGUGCGCCGGGCAUGGUGGUGGUGUUUAUAAUGCUCUCCCGCUGCGCCGUCGUGGUGGCGGUGUGGUUCGUUUGUUUGUGUGUUGACCGCUCCCCGUGCACUCGUGUGCCGGCAAGUCCCUCACCGCCUUUGACGUUUUCGCUGCCGUUGUUGUUGGUUUUCUGAGAUCAAAGUACCGACUCGGGUACUCACAUACACUCUCACACAUGCACACAAAGAUAUCAUACUGAUCAUAAUAUCGCUACGCGGCU
RNAcentral lists this unclassified non-coding RNA (3450 nucleotides) under Leishmania donovani. RNAcentral's name for it is "gene:LdHU3.35.2250(CDS-product:cyclophilin_14_put ative)". The record is from RNAcentral. Lineage: Eukaryota; Euglenozoa; Kinetoplastea; Trypanosomatida; Trypanosomatidae.